GACGAACGCUGGCGGCGUGCUUAACACAUGCAAGUCGAACGAAGUGGCGAACGGGUGAGUAACGCGUAAUCAACCUGCCCUUCAGAGGGGGACAACAGUUGGAAACGACUGCUAAUACCGCAUACUGAAGGAGGGGAUGGCGGGGGAUUAGCUAGUUGGGGGGGUAAUGGCCCACCAGGGCGAUGAUCCGUAGCCGGUCUGAGAGGAUUAACGGCCAAAUUGGGACUGAGACACGGCCCAGACUCCUACGGGAGGCAGCAGUGGGGAAUCUUCCGCAAUGGACGAAAGUCUGACUGAGCAACGCCGCGUGAGUGAUGACGGCCUUCGGGUUGUAAAGCUCUGUUAAUCGGGACGCGGUACCGGAAUAGAAAGCCACGGCUAACUACGUGCCAGCAGCCGCGGUAAUUC
RNAcentral lists this ribosomal RNA (408 nucleotides) under uncultured bacterium. Its description in RNAcentral is "partial 16S ribosomal RNA". It matches the Rfam family "Bacterial small subunit ribosomal RNA", at positions 28 to 526 of the family's 1533-position model. The record is from RNAcentral.